This 253-nucleotide ribosomal RNA is filed under the name uncultured bacterium. Its description in RNAcentral is "partial 16S ribosomal RNA". It matches the Rfam family "Bacterial small subunit ribosomal RNA", at positions 524 to 776 of the family's 1533-position model. The record is from RNAcentral.
UACGAAGGGUGCAAACGUUGCUCGGAAUUAUUGGGCGUAAAGCGCACGUAGGCGGCUUGGCAAGUCGGACGUGAAAUCCCUUGGCUCAAUCAAGGAAGUGCAUCCGAAACUGCUGAGCUUGAGUACGAAAGAGGAUCGCGGAAUUCCCGGUGUAGAGGUGAAAUUCGUAGAUAUCGGGAGGAACACCAGUGGCGAAGGCGGCGAUCUGGGUCGAUACUGACGCUGAGGUGCGAAAGCGUGGGGAGCAAACAGG